AUAAUGGGCCUUUCAGGCAUCCUCUCCUAAAACUUUACGGGCCGGCCCUUUAUGGACCGGCCCUUUUUUUGGCCCGC
RNAcentral lists this small RNA (77 nucleotides) under Sphingomonas sp. YR710. RNAcentral describes it as "Makes More Granules Regulator RNA (mmgR)". It matches the Rfam family "Makes More Granules Regulator RNA (mmgR)". From Rfam's summary of the family: SuhB later renamed mmgR (makes more granules regulator) was a putative non-coding RNA found multiple times in the Agrobacterium tumefaciens genome and related alpha-proteobacteria. Other non-coding RNAs uncovered in the same analysis include: speF, ybhL, metA, and serC. Lineage: Bacteria; Pseudomonadati; Pseudomonadota; Alphaproteobacteria; Sphingomonadales; Sphingomonadaceae. The record is from Rfam by way of RNAcentral.